AGGACGAACGCUGGCGGCGUGCUUAACACAUGCAAGUCGAGCGAGGCUCCUCCUUCGGGAGGAUGUCCUAGCGGCGAACGGGUGAGUAACACGUGGGCAACCUGCCCUCAGCUCUGGGAUAACUCCGGGAAACCGGGGCUAAUACCGGAUACGACCUCCACGGGCAUCUGUGGAGGUGGAAAGUUUUUCGGCUGAGGAUGGGCCCGCGGCCUAUCAGCUAGUUGGUGGGGUGAUAGCCCACCAAGGCGACGACGGGUA
RNAcentral lists this ribosomal RNA (258 nucleotides) under uncultured bacterium. RNAcentral's name for it is "partial small subunit ribosomal RNA". It matches the Rfam family "Bacterial small subunit ribosomal RNA", at positions 26 to 285 of the family's 1533-position model. The record is from RNAcentral.